This is a non-coding RNA of Armillaria borealis, 87 nucleotides long. Lineage: Eukaryota; Fungi; Basidiomycota; Agaricomycetes; Agaricales; Physalacriaceae. The record is from the annotation of a GenBank genome assembly.
GCCCGCCUAGCUCAAUCGGAUAGAGCGUCAGACUUUUAUCUACGCGAAUUUAUCUGAAGGCUGCGAGUUCGACCCUCGCGGUGGGCU